This 876-nucleotide ribosomal RNA is filed under the name uncultured bacterium. RNAcentral describes it as "bacterial SSU rRNA". It matches the Rfam family "Bacterial small subunit ribosomal RNA", at positions 54 to 946 of the family's 1533-position model. The record is from RNAcentral.
CAUGCAGUCGAACGGGAAGCCACCUUCGGGUGGUGGAGAGUGGCGCACGGGUGAGUAACACGUAGCUGACCUGCCCUGGAGAGGGGGAUAACCGGUGGAAACACCGGCUAAAACCUCAUGAUCUCACCCUGACUAAUAAGGGGUGAGCAAACACUACGGUGCUCUAGGAUGGGGCUGCGGGCCAUCAGCUAGUUGGUACGGUAAUGGCGUACCAAGGCGACGACGGCUAGGGGACCUGAGAGGGUGACCCCCCACACUGGGACUGAGACACGGCCCAGACUCCUACGGGAGGCAGCAGUCAGGAAUAUUGCGCAAUGGGCGAAAGUCUGACGCAGCGACGCCGCGUGGGUGAUGAAGGCCUUCGGGUUGUAAAGCCCUUUUCUGCGUGACGAGGAAGGACGGUAGCGCAGGAAUAAGUCUCGGCUAACUACGUGCCAGCAGCCGCGGUAAAACGCAGGAGGCGAACGUUAUCCGGAAUUACUGGGCGUAAAGGGCGUGCAGGUGGCUGAUUAAGUCGGUCGUGAAAGCUCCCGGCUAAACUGGGAGAGGUCGGACGAUACUGAUCAGCUCGAGGGCGACAGAGGAGCGUAGAAUUCAGCGUGUAGUGGUGAAAUGCGUAGAGAUGCUGAGGAAUACCAGAGGCGAAGGCGGCGCUCUGGGUCGCACCUGACACUGAGGCGCGAAAGCACGGGGAGCGAACGGGAUUAGAAACCCCGGUAGUCCGUGCCGUAAACGAUGCCUACUAGAUGUUCGAUCCUCUGCGGAGGGUUGGGUAUCGUAGCUAACGCGUUAAGUAGGCCGCCUGGGGACUACGGCCGCAAGGCUAAAACUCAAAGGAAUUGACGGGGACCCGCACAAGCAGCGGAGCGUGUGGUU